Molecule: long non-coding RNA, 338 nt
Filed under: Athene cunicularia (burrowing owl)
Lineage: Eukaryota; Metazoa; Chordata; Aves; Strigiformes; Strigidae
Description: lncRNA (ENSACUG00000011559.1)
Source: RNAcentral
GAACUACUUGCAUUAUAGUAUAAUUGGAAAUGAUUGUUCCAGUGCCUUCAUAUGCCACAUUUGGUCUCUAUAUCCUUUCUGUCACAGGAAACCAUCUCACACCCAGACCAGGAAAGGUAAAUUCACUUGGCUGUCCCAUAUCUCUAAGGGAACUGAUGCAUGAGUGGACUAGAGAAAGGAAAGAGAGAAAACCUCCAAAGACCUACAGACCAUCUUGCUGGCAGGGUCAAGUUUUCUUCAGACUGAGGCAGAAUUGGGGCUUGUGGACAUCUGAUCUGAUAGACUUGCUUACUCCAAGUCUCUGUGGCCUUAACAGGGAUUCAGUUAUUGACAUGUAG